ACGAACGCUGGCGGCGUGCUUCACACAUGCAAGUCGCACGGAAAGGCCCUGCUUUUGUGGGGUGCUCGAGUGGCGAACGGGUGAGUAACACGUGAGUAACCUGCCCUUGACUUUGGGAUAACUUCAGGAAACUGGGGCUAAUACCGGAUAGGAGCUCCUGCUGCAUGGUGGGGGUUGGAAAGUUUCGGUGGUUGGGGAUGGACUCGCGGCUUAUCAGCUUGUUGGUGGGGUAGUGGCUUACCAAGGCUUUGACGGGUAGCCGGCCUGAGAGGGUGACCGGCCACAUUGGGACUGAGAUACGGCCCAGACUCCUACGGGAGGCAGCAGUGGGGAAUAUUGCACAAUGGGCGGAAGCCUGAUGCAGCAACGCCGCGUGCGGGAUGACGGCCUUCGGGUUGUAAACCGCUUUCGCCUGUGACGAAGCGUGAGUGACGGUAAUGGGUAAAGAAGCACCGGCUAACUACGUG
RNAcentral lists this ribosomal RNA (467 nucleotides) under uncultured bacterium. Its description in RNAcentral is "partial 16S ribosomal RNA". It matches the Rfam family "Bacterial small subunit ribosomal RNA", at positions 29 to 507 of the family's 1533-position model. The record is from RNAcentral.